Molecule: non-coding RNA, 329 nt
Organism: Pelobates cultripes (western spadefoot toad)
Lineage: Eukaryota; Metazoa; Chordata; Amphibia; Anura; Pelobatidae
Source: the annotation of a GenBank genome assembly
GGCAAAAAGCCUGAAGGAAAUGAUUUUACGCACCUGAACAAAUACAAUAAGCUGUAGUUGUACUAGUGAUUAUUGUGUCCCUUUAACUGAUAUGCAGAAUUAUAAUGCAUCAUGGAUGCCAGAAUCCAUGUUGUUUGUUCAUACAAUACGGUUGAGUUGACCCAAAGUUCAUGUUUCAAACCAGGACAAAUACUGAUUCCUAACCAUAAAUUUGGGGGUAUUCUCUCUUACAUGGGAGGAUUUACAGUGGAACCAGAAUUUAAGGCAUAUUUUUAUUAUUUAUAUAGCGCCAUCAGAUUCCAUAGCUGUACAAAGGGUAGAGUAACCAG